Molecule: non-coding RNA, 123 nt
Organism: Atta cephalotes
Lineage: Eukaryota; Metazoa; Arthropoda; Insecta; Hymenoptera; Formicidae
Source: Rfam
UUACUCUGGUUUCCCUUCAGAACACGUAUAAAUCUUUCGCCUUUUACUAAAGAUUUCCGUGGAGGGGAACAUUUGAUGAGUCUACUAUAAGAAUUUUUUGUUGUACUCGGCGAAAGCUGAGUC